RNAcentral lists this ribosomal RNA (301 nucleotides) under uncultured bacterium. RNAcentral describes it as "partial 16S ribosomal RNA". It matches the Rfam family "Bacterial small subunit ribosomal RNA", at positions 509 to 809 of the family's 1533-position model. The record is from RNAcentral.
CAGCCGCCGCGGGAAUACGGAGGGUGCAAGCGUUAAUCGGAAUUACUGGGCGUAAAGCGCACGCAGGCGGUCUGACAAGUCAGAUGUGAAAUCCCCGGGCUUAACCUGGGAACUGUAUUUGAAACUGUCAGGCUGGAGUCUUGUAGAGGGGGGUGGAAUUCCAGGUGUAGCGGUGAAAUGCGUAGAGAUCUGGAGGAAUACCGGUGGCGAAGGCGGCCCCCUGGACAAAGACUGACGCUCAGGUGCGAAAGCGUGGGGAGCAAACAGGAUUAGAUACCCCAGUAGUCCCUGUCUCUUAUAA